CAUGUCUCAGGGGUGGGAGGAAGACGUUGUCUCCCUGAGCAGUUGAGAAGAGAGAUCGCAUUGCUGGCAGGGCACCGAGGUCUGUGCUGGAAGAAAAACUUUGCAGAGAGCAACAGGCUUGAGCUGGCUUCAACCCACCUACUCUUCCCCAGCGACGGGGGAAACCCAGCAUCGCGGCGGGGAGCGCGUCGUGCAGACCGGAUCAACCCCCGACUGCCUUCUCCAGGGACACCCGCUCUGUGCUGAGCCGCUCGCGUGCCGUCCCCGAGGUCAGCCGAGUCGAGCAGAAACUCAGCGCGCACACCGGAUAAUCCACGGCACCGGCUCCCACGGUCUGCCCCAUUUCACGGCACCGGAGCCCUCUGU
RNAcentral lists this long non-coding RNA (366 nucleotides) under Struthio camelus australis. Its description in RNAcentral is "lncRNA (ENSSCUG00000016435.1)". Lineage: Eukaryota; Metazoa; Chordata; Aves; Struthioniformes; Struthionidae. The record is from RNAcentral.